This is a long non-coding RNA of Dermacentor andersoni, 1698 nucleotides long. RefSeq lists it as uncharacterized. The record is from RefSeq and is a predicted model, not a curated record. Lineage: Eukaryota; Metazoa; Arthropoda; Arachnida; Ixodida; Ixodidae.
CGCCGAGACGGCGUUGUCUCGGCGGAGGAGGCCACGACGGCGGCCGAACAUCGCGUGGCUUUGGGAACCGGUCUCCGCGAAAGCGACCACCGCCGAGGGGGCAAAAUAUACAAGCACUGGAAAACAACAGCAGCAGCGGCGGCAAUGACGAAGAAUAAGAAAAAGAGCAAGCAUAGACUGGUUGUUCUAUACCACGAGGCCUCCUGACAAACAUGCUCAACGAGCCCCGAAAAUGUUCACCCCAGUGUCACCAUGCAGAGCCGCGGCAAAGAAUGUUAUAGGACUUGGAGCUAAAAGCAAUGCGACCGCAGCUAACGAACCGUAAGUUUUGAAAGCUGAUGAAGCCUCUACAGAAUGCAGCAGUUCGUUGAACAUUUCUGAUCUAAUGGUUCACAGUCGUCACAGUUAUAGCACCACACUAAUAUAUAUAUAUAUAUAUAUAUAUAUAUAUAGGUUUGCGAUAUGUAUACAUGCCGGAAUUUUACAUUAUAUGGUGUGUUUGAACUUACGUCAGGAAGACAAGAAAAUCAGCAACAGUAAGAAGAACAAGAAAAAAAGUAUCAAGCCGAAGUAAACGAAUGGUCAUAUAUAAGCCCUCUCUGGCGUAAACAUAACAGCAGGGCUUUCGUGUCUCUGAUUGCGUCCCGCGCAUCUGCCUCGGAGUCGUAGGAAAUCAUUGGUCUGUAUCUGUACUCGUAUAUAAAGUGACAUCUUUGCUGCUAAUCACUCAUUUCUGCGUUAACCAGUAUAUAAAUAAAGUAAAUACAUGUAUGUAUAGAGAGUGAACGUAUAGCCGACGCUGGCGCUUUCAGUCGCUAAAGGUUCAUAGAAGGGACAGUAAGUAUAUGUAUAUAUACUUUGUGCAGCAGCACUUCGACAGUUAUGCAACGACGCGACUUAUGUAUAUAGAGUGCAUACGGUAAGCUCUUUUCUAAUAUGUAAGUGGGUGGAUAUUUGCGUUACAGAAGGCAGCACCGAUACGAAAUUAUUUAAUUGUCGUGGGACGAAAAAAAAAAAAGAAAACAAGAAUGCUCUGCGUCUAUACUCUUUCUGCUUAUAUAACAGAAGGCGGGAUAUAUUGAUACCCAUACUCUAAUUUGUCCGGAGGCUCGCAGCCUCAUGGAAACAAAAGGUGCAUGCAGAAAGCGGAACGCAUCCAGCUGGAAGACGUCAAGUUCGCUGAAUACACUUCGUCGAAGACACAUGCGCAGCAACUUUGUGCACUGCAGCGUAUAUAAAAUACGCGCGCUGACGUAUCCAUUAACUUUUGUACACUUGUUAAACGCACACAGAACUCGCAUAAUACGAACAGAACUGAGGAUAUCGGCGCCGUAGUGUUCUCAGUUCAUCAUCAUCAUCAUCAUAAUUGUCGUUAUCCUAUUUAUGUCCACUGCAGGACGAAGGCCUCCCCCUGCGAUCUCCAAUUGCCCCUGUCCUGCACCAACCGAUUCCAACUACCCGCAACUGUUCCCAAUUACUGCUGGACAAGAUCCGUAUUACGCGUCCAUUCAGAGGCAGCGAGCGAUAUUGCCGCGGCUGGAAAUUGCAUCAAAUUAUGUAUUAGCAGCCACUGCCUGUAUACGGUUGUUCCCGUCUUCACGCUACUGCAUCCAAUUCGACGCCUAUUCGCAGUGUACUCAAUGUUCCCGGUCCCCCCCCUUUUUUUUCAUAUUUUAAAAUAUUUUAUGCAGAAGAAUC